AAAUACUAAAUCAUGAUAGUGAAUUCAUCACUCAACAGAGGCAACAAGUAGAGCUAUUAUAACAACUUCUGUAUAUAUUUAGAGAGAAAUCUAGGGGCUAUCCAGCUUUCUUUUAACAUUUAUUUUUAAGCCUUGAAAAUAACAUGCAAAUUCAGCAGUACAAUGACAUAAUAUUUCUUAUAUUCAAUGUAUCCGUUAUAACCUCACUGCUGUGGCAUGGGUUCGAUGCCUGGCCUGGGAACCUCCACAUGACUCAGUUGCAGCCAAAAAAAGAGAGAGAGUAAAGCAUGUAGAAGCUGCAAGGUAUGCAUUAAGUGCUCGAUAAACCUUGGCCAUUAUUAUUAUUUUAUAAUCAGGCAAUUAUUUUUCCUAUCUUAUUACUUGUCUUCUUUAUAAAUGGCCCCAAAUAGCUUAAUUGAAAUUAAUGUAGCAGGACAGAAGUAGGCUUUAAACCAAGAGGCAAAAAUUCGUCUUUUUCUCACUUUUAAAGUGGAAGAGAAUAAUGCUUCUUGCCCGUGCCUAGCAGGGAUCCUUUGGAAGCAAAUGAGGUUUUGCACCUGAAAGGACUCUGAAAACCCAGACCUCGUGGCUCUUUGACUUGUAUAAAUUCAGUUACUUGCGAUUGACCCCAGAGGUCCUUACAAUGAAUAUGUUUCUAAUUUUAUUUAAACACAAAUUUGAAUCUACAUGUUUCCUAAGUUAAAAAAGUUUCUGCUGUUUUAAAAAGUGUAUUUAGCUACUGCCGGUAUGUGUACCUAAAUCACUUGGCUAGUAGGUAUUUUUGAAGAUAGGCCAUAAUGAGAGUGAGGAAGAGGGGAUAAAGGGGGCCAACCCAGUGUGUCCUUCUUGCAUGUCAAAUGCAAUCACAAAUAUCAAUAUUCUUGCAUGGGGAUGAGGAGGAGAGAUCCCUAGGGGAGCUGAAAUCCUAUGGUCCUGGGUAAGCACUGUCCACUGUGGUUAGAGAAUUAGGAAGAUGCAGCACUGGCCUGAGUCAGCCAGUCAGAAAGGCUGAAGGAAGGAGAAAGAAGCCCUGGCCAAACGCACCUGUUGGCUUAUUGGCCACCAUUCAGAAACACUCUCACAAACUUGGGUGGCAUCAUUUAAAAUCACCAGUUAUUGCCCUACUGCUCUUUACAGGGUAAAUUAUAAGCUAUAGCAGUACCUACAGAUUUAGGGAUUUGAGAUCCUCUGAAGAAAUCUAAAGGGCUAUAAGUUCAUCCUGAAGCUUUAAAAGGACCCACAUGUCUCAUAUUUGGAACAAACUUUUAAAAUGGUAUAGGAUAAGAAACCAUAUACCUAUGAAAAGACAAUUUCCAUGUCAUUUAUCACAUGUUAAUUGGUUUGGAAAAUGUAUUUUCCUCCUCCAUAUCAGCAGCUGCCUUUUUUUUUUUUUUUUUUUUUUUGUCUUUUUCUCUCUUGGGGGCCACGCCCACGGCAUAUGGAGGUUCCCAGACUAGUGGUCCAGUCGGAGCUACAGUUGCAGGCCUGCAUCAUAGCUACAGCAACACAGGAUCUGAGCCACAUUUUGUGACCUACACCACAGUUCAGAGCAAGGCCAGAUCCUUAACCCACUGAGCAAGGCUAGGGAUCGAUUCCACGUCCUCAUGGAUGCUAGUUGGGUUCGUUAACCACUGAGCCAAGACGGGAACUCCACUUUUUUUUUUUUUUUUUUUUUUUAAUGACUUUACCACCUAUCACCAGACAUUGUCUGUUGAGCUGUUCCUUAGUUAUGCAGCUGAAUGAUGAUGGCUGACUUCUUAAGAAGGCAAGAUUAGAAACUUGCUGACGAAGUUGCGGAGACACCAAGAGGCUUAUAUGGCAUCGCCCAAUUCACUCUUCAUCAGUAGAUGUAUUUCAGACACAGCUGCUCUAGUUGAUAGAGAAGUUCGGCCUUUGUCGCUGUAAUGUUUGCCAUACACGUGCUACAGAGAACACGAAGCUUAAAAGAAAUACAUAGUAGGUUAAUUAAAAUUUCAUUAAAUAAAUUGCUGGUCCUAGUUUAUAAUUCUGAUUCUCAGACCCUGUCUGGUUUCUGCCCCGUGGCACAAUAAUCAGGCUUAUGCCCUUAGCAAUUUCUCAUGAAAACCUGGAUUUCCAAUGAACCUAUAUAAAUUUUGGAUGUAAUGAUGGUACUUUUCCUCAGGCAUUGCUAAAUGACUUUAUUUUCAUAGAUUUUACUUUGUUUCAAAUUAUUCCCUUCCCUGAGAAGAAUUUCAGGGUUGCCAAAGUUCAGAACCCUGACCAGUGGUCCCAAAGUCAAAAUAGAAUACACAUGACCUCUUGCUUAUAAGAUAGUUGCACAUUUCAUUAAAGUAGUCAUGAUACUGAGACUUGCUCAGCUGGCGCACAUGGAUGUGAGAGGAGCUGUAAGAAUGGAAAUGACCUGUAAGAUUGUACCAAGGACAAGAAGAGAAAUGAAUUGGCAGUGAAAGGAAGUUUGCUCGAGGUUUUUUUUUUUUUUCCCCCCACCUAGUGAGAUCUCUGAGAAAGUCAUGACAUGCUAUAACAAAGCCCUACCUCUUCCUGUCUCUUCGUGCUUGUUUCCUUGCAUUCAGCCUAAGCCGCCUCUCACCUGGCCACCUGUGAAUGCUCCAGCACAAUAAGCCGGAGUGCCUUUGACCUUGACAUUCCCUUUCUUGGAAAACCUGGCCUUGCACUUCUGACUUGCUGCUCACUUCUUUCAGAUCUCUAUUCCAGUAUCUCACCUUGAAAGGUCUUGCCUCUCCACUCUGCUAAAAUAGCCCCCCCUUCUAUCCCUGCUACUCUUUUCUUUAUUCUUCCUGAAACUAUUUCUCUUUAUCUGGCUGACAAUAACUUUUUUUUACUGGUUCAUUAUUUCAAAGUUCAUCUCCUCCACUAGAAUCUGAGCUCCAUAGAGGCAGAGUUUGUUGUAUUCCCAGAGAAGUUUCUGGUAUAGAAGAGAUGCUCGGAACGUAUGUCUUGAGUGAAUGAAUCAUUUGUAGCCAUACAGUUCAAAUCCUAGGUUACCUGAUUUCUGAGAUUGUUUCCUGAUCCUUAAAUUGAGAAUAAGACUUUUUCUGCUUCCAAACUACUGUGAAAAAUCAAGUAGAAUUAUUUAUGUAGAAGGACUUAUAAUCCAUAAAGCCCUGUAUAAAAGUUAGUGAAUGUCAAGAACUGUAGUAUGAUGCAAAAUUAGCUUACCCCGAAUUCAAGGUCAGGCUUCUAAUGGGGGCUUUGUCAUUUAGUACGGCAUGUGUCUUUGAACAGGUAUACAGCCCUCUGCACCUCAUUCUCCUUCUCUGCUGUAAGAAUGAAAUGAGAUGAUGUAUAUGUAUGUACUUGAUCAGCUGUAGAGCAGUACAGGACAAUACCACAUUAUCACUUGUCUGUAUAGAGCGGAACCACUCCCCUCACUGCCUUUAUCCCUGGUAUCCCCUGUUUAUAUAUAUGUAAAUAUGAAAAGGUAUUACAUGAGGGGGAAAGGUAAGCAACUUCUUCUGUUGUUAGGCUAGUGCUUUCCCAGAGGUGGAAAGAGUAUAUUCUCUAAAUAAAUAAGUUUAUAUGCAACUCAUGUCACCACAAUGCCAAAACUUAUUUAUUUUUUUAAAUUUAUCCUAUUUUAUUUAACUUAUUGAUGUAUACCAUGUUACAUAUGUUACAGGUAUACAAUGUAGUGACUCAUAACUUUUAAAGGUUAUGCUCCAUUUAUCAUUAUGAUAAAAUAUCUGAAAAAGAAUGGAUAUAUGUAUGUAUAACUGAAUCACUUUGUAGUACACCUCUGUAUACCUGAAACGAAUACAACAUUGUAAAUCAACUGUACUUCAAUAAAAAAUGAAAAUUAAAAAAAUAACAAGCUACAAGGAAAUAUUGUACAUAUGGAGAAUAUAGCCAAUGUUCUAACCUAUUUCUUGAUGACACUUUGUCUCUAAAUUUGUUUUAGGUUAAAUUCUAAGGUUAACCAAUUCCCUGGAAUUCUUCAGCUGCAAAGAGCCUGUGAAGAUCCUUGACCACUUUGGUUCAAGUUAAGCCAUGCAUGAAUUGAACCUUCUUCAGAUUAUUUGCUUGUGCUCAAAGCACUGCAUUAAUCAGAGGAGGAGGCUUCAAUCUUGGACUUGUUCUCAGAGGCUCUGCUGCAUUGUGUUGCCUUUGAUGAAAAGCUUAAAAGGCAGAGAACAGGAAAUCCACUCUGAUUUCAUUGUUUGCUUUGAACAGUUCUUUCUUCUUUGGAACAAUACUGGUUUGCCUAAAAUGGCUAAUAAUCACUACUAUUUAUUGAACAUUAAUUCUGUGCCAGGCACUGCACAAAGUAGUUUCUAUACAUCUUUACAUUUCAUUUUCACACCAGUUCUCUGAAGGAGAUUUUAUUAUCCCCAUUCUACAGAAUAGGAAACUGAGACUGAGCGACCUGGGGGAAGCGGGGGGAACAAACUUCUCCUAUGGUCUCCUAGACAGAGGACCAAAGCUGGGGGUAACACAUGGAUCUGGUUCCGAGGCUUCUACUCCUAACCACUAAAUCAGAACCAAUUGCGGUCGAAGCCUGGGGGAGUUUGCAAAAGAGUAAGGGUAUCUUUUCACAUUUGCUGUAACAAUUUUUGAGACCUCUCAAAUUGUUGACUACCAAUUCCAUCCAUUGGUGCUGAACAACCAACACUUCUAUUUCUCGUUCGGUGUCUUUGUGUGUCAUUACUUAUUUUGGUCUCUGAAAUUUGAUUAUGUGAUUUUUGUACAAUGAAAAUAUGUUACCUUGGAAUAAUUGAUUCAGAGAGAUCAUUUUGAAGUAUGCAUGUAGCGCCUGGCAUUGGCAUGGAUUAUGGGCAAUGUAUGUAAUAUCCAGUUAAUUAGAAUUAUCUGUAUUGAAAGGAGCAUUGUGGUUCCAACAUGGGCUUUGGAAUUAAGCUUGACCAACUCCAAGCCCUUGAUCUAUGAUUUUGAGCAGUUGUAGAACCUCUCUGAUGCUCAAUUUCUUUAUCAUUUAAUUGAGGGUGGUGAUAACUCCUACCACACAGGCUUAUUUUGAGAGUUAAGCAAGAUAAUGCACCUUAGAUGUGAAGAUUAGUUGAAAUAAAAUGUGUCAAGUAUAUAAUACGGAGCCCAGGAAAUAGCACUUUUUUGGUAAAUCUCGACAACAUUAAUUUUUUUGUAAAAUUAAAAUUUUUUUGGAAGAAUCAGGACUAUCAGAUAUAUUUUCAUGUAUAGUAUAAUUAACUACAUACUAGUUGUUUAUAACCUACACAUUUCAAAAUAGGAUUUGAGAUUACUAGAUCAAUAUUUUAUCCAGUGGCUGGCUGGCCUCUAAGUAGCUCACUGCCUUUGAAUAUUUGGGAAGAAAAAUUAGUCUCUGUAGCCUGAAAUCAACUUACAAUUCCUUCUGGCAUUUUUUUCAUUAC
This 5348-nucleotide long non-coding RNA is filed under the name Sus scrofa (pig). Its description in RNAcentral is "lncRNA (ENSSSCG00000054755.1)". Lineage: Eukaryota; Metazoa; Chordata; Mammalia; Artiodactyla; Suidae. The record is from RNAcentral.